UAAGUCGACCGCCUGGGGAGUACGGCCGCAAGGUUAAAACUCAAAUGAAUUGACGGGGGCCCGCACAAGCGGUGGAGCAUGUGGUUUAAUUCGAUGCAACGCGAAGAACCUUACCUGGUCUUGACAUCCACGGAAGUUUUCAGAGAUGAGAAUGUGCCUUCGGGAACCGUGAGACAGGUGCUGCAUGGCUGUCGUCAGCUCGUGUUGUGAAAUGUUGGGUUAAGUCCCGCAACGAGCGCAACCCUUAUCCUUUGUUGCCAGCGGUCCGGCCGGGAACUCAAAGGAGACUGCCAGUGAUAAACUGGAGGAAGGUGGGGAUGACGUCAAGUCAUCAUGGCCCUUACG
This 345-nucleotide ribosomal RNA is filed under the name Shigella boydii. RNAcentral describes it as "bacterial SSU rRNA". It matches the Rfam family "Bacterial small subunit ribosomal RNA", at positions 861 to 1206 of the family's 1533-position model. Lineage: Bacteria; Pseudomonadati; Pseudomonadota; Gammaproteobacteria; Enterobacterales; Enterobacteriaceae. The record is from RNAcentral.